UACGUAGGCAGCAAGCGUUGUUCGGAUUUACUGGGCGUAAAGGGUGCGUAGGCGGCGCGGUAAGUCGGGUGUGAAAUCUCGGAGCUUAACUCCGAAGCUGCAUUCGAUACUGCCGUGCUUGAGGACUGGAGAGGAGACUGGAAUUUACGGUGUAGCGGUGAAAUGCGUAGAUAUCGUAAGGAAGACCAGUGGCGAAGGCGGGUCUCUGGACAGUUCCUGACGCUGAGGCACGAAGGUCAGGGGAGCAAACGGG
This 253-nucleotide ribosomal RNA is filed under the name uncultured bacterium. RNAcentral's name for it is "partial 16S ribosomal RNA". It matches the Rfam family "Bacterial small subunit ribosomal RNA", at positions 524 to 776 of the family's 1533-position model. The record is from RNAcentral.